CCCGGGAUCUUGUUCCUCGAAAUAUCAAGCGUUUCAAGCUUCCAUAGUCCAAAAAUGGACUCCGGAAUCUCUCCCCUCAAAUGGCUAUCAGCCAGAAACAAAUAAGUCAAGUUCUUCAAAUUUCCAAUAUUCUCAGGGAUCUCACCCUCAUCAUAUUCAUUUUGCCCCAUAGAAAGCGCAAUCAACCCAGUUAAAUUUCCUACCCAUGUCGGAAAUCUGCCAGAGAAGUAGUUCAACGACAAAUCAAGAAUCUCCAAGUUUCUCAACGAAGAAAGAUCAGGAAAGACUCCCACCAUUUCAUUUCCGGUUAGAUUC
RNAcentral lists this unclassified non-coding RNA (315 nucleotides) under Hevea brasiliensis (rubber tree). Lineage: Eukaryota; Viridiplantae; Streptophyta; Magnoliopsida; Malpighiales; Euphorbiaceae. The record is from RNAcentral.